CCGAUAGCGUAUAUUAAAGUUGUUGCAGUUAAAAAGCUCGUAGUUGAAUUUCGGGGUUAGUAGGUUGGUCAUGCCUCUGGUAUGUACUGGUCUCACUGAUUCCUCCUUCCUGAUGAGCCGUAAUGCCAUUAAUUUGGUGUUGCGGGGAAUUUGGACUGUUACUUUGAAAAAAUUAGAGUGUGUAAAGCAAGCUAACGCUUGAAUACAUUAGCAUGGAAUAAUGAAAUAGGACGUUCGAUCCUAUUUUGUUGGUUUCUAGGAUUGCAGUAAUGAUUAAUAGGGAUAGUUGGGGGCAUUAGUAUUAAAUUGUCAGAGUGUAAAUUCUUGGAUUUAUUGAAGACUAACUACUGCGAAAGCAUUUGCCAAGGAUGUUUUCAUUAAUCAAGAACGAACGUUAGGGGAUCGAAGACGAUCAGAUACCGUCGUAGUCUUAACCAUAAACUAUGCCGACUAGGGAUCGGAUGAUGUUAAUUUUUUAAUGACUCAUUCGGCGCCUUAUG
This 500-nucleotide ribosomal RNA is filed under the name uncultured Glomeromycotina. RNAcentral describes it as "partial small subunit ribosomal RNA". It matches the Rfam family "Eukaryotic small subunit ribosomal RNA", at positions 591 to 1092 of the family's 1831-position model. Lineage: Eukaryota; Fungi; Glomeromycota. The record is from RNAcentral.